AAGUCGUAACAAGGUUUCCGUAGGUGAACCUGCGGAAGGAUCAUUACUAGAGCAAAGGAUAGACAGCGCCCGCGGAGCUCGCUCCCUGGGGCUACUCUACUUCGGUAGGGUUUAGAGUCGUCGGGCCUCUCGAAGAAGCUCGGUCCUGAACUCCACCCUUGAAUAAAUUACCUUUGUUGCUUUGGCGGGCCGCCUCGUGCCAGCGGCUUCGGCUGUUGCGUGCCCGCCAGAGGACCACAACUCUUGUUUUUAGUGAUGUCUGAGUACUAUAUAAUAGUUAAAACUUUCAACAACGGAUCUCUUGGUUCUG
Molecule: unclassified non-coding RNA, 310 nt
Filed under: air metagenome
Description: partial contains small subunit ribosomal RNA, internal transcribed spacer 1, and 5.8S ribosomal RNA
Rfam family: Eukaryotic small subunit ribosomal RNA (bases 1-46)
Source: RNAcentral